RNAcentral lists this ribosomal RNA (253 nucleotides) under uncultured bacterium. RNAcentral's name for it is "partial 16S ribosomal RNA". It matches the Rfam family "Bacterial small subunit ribosomal RNA", at positions 524 to 776 of the family's 1533-position model. The record is from RNAcentral.
UACAGAGGGUGCGAGCGUUGUCCGGAAUCACUGGGCGUAAAGGGCGCGUAGGCGGUCUGGUAAGUCGGGGGUGAAAUCUUGCGGCUCAACUGCAAGGCUGCCUCCUAAACUGUCAGGCUUGAGCACAGUAGAGGCAGGUGGAAUUCCCGGUGUAGCGGUGGAAUGCGUAGAGAUCGGGAAGAACAUCGGUGGCGAAGGCGGCCUGCUGGGCUGUUGCUGACGCUGAGGCGCGACAGCGUGGGGAGCAAACAGG